This 512-nucleotide ribosomal RNA is filed under the name uncultured bacterium. RNAcentral describes it as "partial 16S ribosomal RNA". It matches the Rfam family "Bacterial small subunit ribosomal RNA", at positions 506 to 1022 of the family's 1533-position model. The record is from RNAcentral.
CCCUCAGCCGCCGCGGUAAGACGAACCGUGCGAACGUUAUUCGGAAUCACUGGGCUUAAAGGGUGCGUAGGCGGGUGGAYAAGUCGAGGGUGAAAKCCYCYRGCUUAACYAGRGAASUGCCCUCGAUACUGUUUGUCUUGAGAGAGAUAGGGGSACRYGGAAYUUCCGGUGGAGCGGUGAAAUGCGUAGAUAUCGGAAGGAACRCCGGUGGCGAAAGCGGUGUSCUGGAUCUUUUCUGACGCUGAGGCACGAAAGCUAGGGUAGCGAACGGGAUUAGAUACCCCGGUAGUCCUAGCCCUAAACGAUGAGUACUAGAUWGUGGACUGACAUGGGUUCACAGUCGAAGCAAAAGUAUUAAGUACUCCGCCUGGGGAGUAUGGUCGCAAGGCUGAAACUCAAAGGAAUUGGCGGGGGAGCACAGCACAACGCCGUAUGUUGUUUUUUUUUCUUUGGUCGACGAGCGUUCCCCGUCGUUGGGGGGGGGGGGGGCCAUCUCGGCUCCCAUCGCUGUA